CCUACGGGAGGCAGCAGUGGGGAAUAUUGCGCAAUGGGGGAAACCCUGACGCAGCAACGCCGCGUGAGUGAGGAAGGACUUCGGUCUGUAAAGCUCUGUUAAUGAGGAAAAAUGGUAGUUGGUCUAAUAGGCCGAUUAUUUGAUGGUACUCAUAGAGGAAGCACCGGCUAACUUCGUGCCAGCAGCCGCGGUAAUACGAAGGGUGCAAGCGUUGUUCGGAUUUAUUGGGCGUAAAGCGCGCGUAGGCGGACCCGCAAGUCAGAUGUGAAAUCUCGAGGCUCAACCUCGAAACUGCGUCUGAAACUACAGGUCUAGAAUCUCGGAGGGGGAAGGGGAAUUUCGCAUGUAGGGGUAAAAUCCGUAGAUAUGCGAAGGAACACCAGAGGCGAAGGCGCCUUCCUGGACGAGUAUUGACGCUGAGGCGCGAAAGCGUGGGGAUCAAACAGGAUUAGAUACCCUGGUAGUCCACGCUGUAAACGAUGAACACUAGGUAUUGGAGGAUUUGACCCCUUCAGUGCCGUAGCUAACGCGUUAAGUGUUCCGCCUGGGAAGUACGGUCGCAAGACAAAACUUAAGGAAUUGACGGCNGAGAGNGCGAGACGACGACGAGGGAGGAGG
Molecule: ribosomal RNA, 618 nt
Filed under: uncultured bacterium
Lineage: Bacteria
Description: bacterial SSU rRNA
Rfam family: Bacterial small subunit ribosomal RNA
Source: RNAcentral